Peromyscus leucopus (white-footed mouse) is the source of this 560-nucleotide non-coding RNA. Lineage: Eukaryota; Metazoa; Chordata; Mammalia; Rodentia; Cricetidae. The record is from the annotation of a RefSeq genome assembly.
UGUUUAAGUCUAGAUGAGGGAGGCGAGCUCAUGAGUGUGGUCAAGAACAAUGACAUCAUAGGCAGUCAGUCUAGAGCAGCAAGAAGACUCACACUUUCCUCGAAACUGCCAUGAGAAUUAGGCUCAUCUCUGCUGCAGUGCUAUGUUUCCUGGGAGCAGACCUUGUGAAUAUGGAAGUAACCCAGACACCAAGAUACCUGGUCAAAAGAAUGGGAGAGGAAGCUUUGCUGGAAUGUGUACAGGAUAUGGACCAUGAAAGAAUGUACUGGUAUCGACAAGACCCAGGUCUGGGGCUACGGCUGAUUUAUUUAUCAUAUGAUGCUAACAGUAACAGUGAAGGAGACAUCCCUGCAGGAUACAAGGUCUCUCGGAAGAAGCGGGAGAGUUUCUCCCUGAUUCUGGAGUCUACUAAAACCAACCAGACAUCUGUGUACUUCUGCGCCAGCAGUAUAUCCACAGCUCUGCACAGCCACAUCCUCUUCGCACAAAAAAAGCACCCAUGGGAAGGGAAGGAGAUUCUUCUCACCUCUCCACCCACCCAGAUUCUGCUAUACCCAUAG